CAAGGUUGAAAAAUCAAAAGUUUUGAUAGAACUAACUUCAGAAAAAGACCGAGAUUUAAAAUUGUCUAGAAGUUCUUUAGAAUUUUUAAGAAUUCACAUAUGGUUAAUACCACUACGCGAGUAAACAGUUUCACAGUAUUUCUGAAGACCCUCUUUCACUGCGGAUAGAAUUUUAGUCAAUCUAAUGGACAAUUCUUUAGUGGAACAUGAAGAUGAGCCAGC
This 222-nucleotide long non-coding RNA is filed under the name Mytilus galloprovincialis (Mediterranean mussel). Lineage: Eukaryota; Metazoa; Mollusca; Bivalvia; Mytilida; Mytilidae. The record is from RNAcentral.